This 230-nucleotide ribosomal RNA is filed under the name uncultured bacterium. RNAcentral describes it as "partial 16S ribosomal RNA". It matches the Rfam family "Bacterial small subunit ribosomal RNA", at positions 561 to 791 of the family's 1533-position model. The record is from RNAcentral.
UAAAGCGUGCGCAGGCGGUUUUGUAAGUCUGAUGUGAAAUCCCCGGGCUCAACCUGGGAAUUGCAUUGGAGACUGCAAGGCUAGAAUCUGGCAGAGGGGGUAGAAUUCCACGUGUAGCAGUGAAAUGCGUAGAUAUGUGGAGGAACACCGAUGGCGAAGGCAGCCCCCUGGGUCAAGAUUGACGCUCAUGCACGAAAGCGUGGGGAGCAAACAGGAUUAGAUACCCGAGU